This 677-nucleotide ribosomal RNA is filed under the name Lactiplantibacillus plantarum. Its description in RNAcentral is "bacterial SSU rRNA". It matches the Rfam family "Bacterial small subunit ribosomal RNA", at positions 828 to 1504 of the family's 1533-position model. The record is from RNAcentral. Lineage: Bacteria; Bacillati; Bacillota; Bacilli; Lactobacillales; Lactobacillaceae.
GGUUUCCGCCCUUCAGUGCUGCAGCUAACGCAUUAAGCAUUCCGCCUGGGGAGUACGGCCGCAAGGCUGAAACUCAAAGGAAUUGACGGGGGCCCGCACAAGCGGUGGAGCAUGUGGUUUAAUUCGAAGCUACGCGAAGAACCUUACCAGGUCUUGACAUACUAUGCAAAUCUAAGAGAUUAGACGUUCCCUUCGGGGACAUGGAUACAGGUGGUGCAUGGUUGUCGUCAGCUCGUGUCGUGAGAUGUUGGGUUAAGUCCCGCAACGAGCGCAACCCUUAUUAUCAGUUGCCAGCAUUAAGUUGGGCACUCUGGUGAGACUGCCGGUGACAAACCGGAGGAAGGUGGGGAUGACGUCAAAUCAUCAUGCCCCUUAUGACCUGGGCUACACACGUGCUACAAUGGAUGGUACAACGAGUUGCGAACUCGCGAGAGUAAGCUAAUCUCUUAAAGCCAUUCUCAGUUCGGAUUGUAGGCUGCAACUCGCCUACAUGAAGUCGGAAUCGCUAGUAAUCGCGGAUCAGCAUGCCGCGGUGAAUACGUUCCCGGGCCUUGUACACACCGCCCGUCACACCAUGAGAGUUUGUAACACCCAAAGUCGGUGGGGUAACCUUUUAGGAACCAGCCGCCUAAGGUGGGACAGAUGAUUAGGGUGAAGUCGUAACAGAGGUAACCGAC